RNAcentral lists this ribosomal RNA (460 nucleotides) under uncultured bacterium. Its description in RNAcentral is "partial 16S ribosomal RNA". It matches the Rfam family "Bacterial small subunit ribosomal RNA", at positions 338 to 795 of the family's 1533-position model. The record is from RNAcentral.
CCUACGGGAGGCUGCAGUGAGGAAUAUUGGUCAAUGGACGAGAGUCUGAACCAGCCAAGUAGCGUGAAGGAUGACUGCCCUAUGGGUUGUAAACUUCUUUUAUAUGGGAAUAAAAUGUUCCACGUGUGGGAUUUUGUAUGUACCAUAUGAAUAAGGAUCGGCUAACUCCGUGCCAGCAGCCGCGGUAAUACGGAGGAUCCGAGCGUUAUCCGGAUUUAUUGGGUUUAAAGGGAGCGUAGGUGGAUUGUUAAGUCAGUUGUGAAAGUUUGCGGCUCAACCGUAAAAUUGCAUUGGAAACUGGCAGUCUUGAGUACAGUAGAGGUGGGCGGAAUUCGGGGUGUAGCGGUGAAAUGCUUAGAUAUCACGAAGAACUCCGAUUGCGAAGGCAGUUCACUGGACUGCAACUGACACUGAGGCUCGAAAGUGUGGAUAUCAAACAGGAUUAGAUACCCGGGUAGUC